RNAcentral lists this ribosomal RNA (460 nucleotides) under uncultured bacterium. RNAcentral describes it as "partial 16S ribosomal RNA". It matches the Rfam family "Bacterial small subunit ribosomal RNA", at positions 338 to 795 of the family's 1533-position model. The record is from RNAcentral.
CCUACGGGCGGCAGCAGUGAGGAAUAUUGGUCAAUGGGCGCGAGCCUGAACCAGCCAAGCAGCGUGAAGGAUGACUGUCCUAAGGGUUGUAAACUUCUUUUAUAAAGGGAUAAAGUGAGGCACGUGUGCCUUUCUGUAUGUACUUUAUGAAUAAGGAUCGGCUAACUCCGUGCCAGCAGCCGCGGUAAUACGGAGGAUCCGAGCGUUAUCCGGAUUUAUUGGGUUUAAAGGGUGCGUAGGGGGGUUGUUAAGUCAGUUGUGAAAGUUCGCGGCUCAACCGUAAACUUGCAGUUGAUACUGGCAGUCUUGAGAAGAGUUGAGGUAGGCGGAAUUCGGAGUGUAGCGGUGAAAUGCUUAGAUAUCACGCAGAACCCCGAUUGCGAAGGCAGCUUACUAGACUGUGACUGACAUUGAUGCACGAAAGUGUGGGUAUCAAACAGGAUUAGAUACCCUUGUAGUC